This 448-nucleotide ribosomal RNA is filed under the name uncultured bacterium. RNAcentral's name for it is "SSU rRNA". It matches the Rfam family "Bacterial small subunit ribosomal RNA", at positions 26 to 518 of the family's 1533-position model. The record is from RNAcentral.
AGAGCGAACGCUGGCGGCAGGCUUAACACAUGCAAGUCGAGCGGGCGUAGCAAUACGUCAGCGGCAGACGGGUGAGUAACGCGUGGGAACAUACCCUCCGGUUCGGAAUAGCUCAGGGAAACUUGGAUUAAUACCGGAUACGGCUGAGAGGCGAAAGAUUUAUCGCCGGAGGAUUGGCCCGCGUUCGAUUAGCUUGUUGGUGAGGUAACGGCUCACCAAGGCGAUGAUCGAUAGCUGGUCUGAGAGGAUGAUCAGCCACAUUGGGACUGAGACACGGCCCAAACUCCUACGGGAGGCAGCAGUGGGGAAUAUUGGACAAUGGGCGCAAGCCUGAUCCAGCCAUGCCGCGUGAGUGAUGACGGCCUUAGGGUUGUAAAGCUCUUUCGCUCGGGACGAUAAUGACGGUACCGAGAUAAGAAGCCCCGGCUAACUUCGUGCCAGCAGCCGC